CGGGAGGCUGCACCAUUGGGGAAUAUUGCACAAUGGAGGAAACUCUGAUGCAGCAACGCCGCGUGGAGGAUGACACUUUUCGGAGCGUAAACUCCUUUUAUAUAGGAAGAAGAUGACGGUACUAUAUGAAUAAGCGCCGGCUAACUCCGUGCCAGCAGCCGCGGUAAUACGGAGGGCGCAAGCGUUACUCGGAAUCACUGGGCGUAAAGAGCGUGUAGGCGGAUUAAAAAGUCAGAAGUGAAAUCCUAUAGCUUAACUAUAGAACUGCUUCUGAAACUCUUAAUCUAGAAUAUGGGAGAGGUAGAUGGAAUUUCUGGUGUAGGGGUAAAAUCCGUAGAGAUCAGAAGGAAUACCGAUUGCGAAGGCGAUCUACUAGAACAUUAUUGACGCUGAGACGCGAAAGCGUGGGGAGCAAACAGGAUUAGAUACCCGAGUAGUC
Molecule: ribosomal RNA, 439 nt
Filed under: uncultured bacterium
Lineage: Bacteria
Description: partial 16S ribosomal RNA
Rfam family: Bacterial small subunit ribosomal RNA
Source: RNAcentral